Molecule: ribosomal RNA, 492 nt
Filed under: uncultured bacterium
Lineage: Bacteria
Description: partial 16S ribosomal RNA
Rfam family: Bacterial small subunit ribosomal RNA
Source: RNAcentral
GGGGGGGGGGGGGGGGGGGGGGGGGGGGGGCGGGGCGGGCGGCGGGGCGGUGGGGGCUGGCGCUGGCGGGGGGCGAGUGGCGGGCGGGGGGGGACUCCAUCGGACUCUCCUUUUUCGUUGGGGCUACCGUAGGGAACCUUACGCUCAUCCCGCCGACGACCUGCGGGUGACCGCCGUGGCUCUUCGGACCUUGCCCGCUUCUCUGCGCCGAUGUCGGGUUAGCUAGUUGGAGGGUUAAACGCCCAACCCGGCGCCGAUCCGUAGCUGGUCUGAGAGGAUAAUCAGCGACACUGGAACAGAGACACGGUCCAGAAUCCUACGGGAAGCAGCAGUGGGGAAUAUUGGACAAUGGGCGCAAGCCUGAUCCAGCCAUACCGCGUGGGUGAAGAAGGCCUUCGGGUUGUAAAGACCUUUUGUUGGGAAAGAAAAGCAGCAGGUUAAGACCCCGCUGUUCUGACGGUACCCAAAGAAUAAGCACCGGCUAACUUCGUG